ACGAACGCUGGCGGCGUGCCUAAUACAUGCAAGUCGAACGGCUUUUCUAUGGAAGCUUGCUUCCACUGAGAAGAUAGUGGCGAACGGGUGAGUAACACGUGGGUAACCUGCCCAUAAGAGGGGGAGUAACAUCCGGAAACGGGUGCUAAUACCGCAUAGUUUUCUUGAUCGCAUGAUUGAGAAAGGAAAGACGGCCUUUGUGCUGUCGCUUAUGGAUGGACCCGCGGCGUAUUAGUUAGUUGGUGAGGUAAUGGCUCACCAAGACGAUGAUACGUAGCCGACCUGAGAGGGUGAUCGGCCACAUUGGGACUGAGACACGGCCCAAACUCCUACGGGAGGCAGCAGUAGGGAAUCUUCCGCAAUGGACGAAAGUCUGACGGAGCAACGCCGCGUGAGUGAAAGAAGGUUUUCGGAUCGUAAAACUCUGUUGUCAGAGAAGAACAAGUUGGAGAGUAACUGCUCCAGCCUUGACGGUAUCUGACCAGAAAGCCACGGCUAACUACGUGCCAGCCGCCGC
Molecule: ribosomal RNA, 517 nt
Filed under: uncultured bacterium
Lineage: Bacteria
Description: bacterial SSU rRNA
Rfam family: Bacterial small subunit ribosomal RNA
Source: RNAcentral